This is a long non-coding RNA of Leptopilina boulardi, 910 nucleotides long. RefSeq lists it as uncharacterized. The transcript is spliced from 3 exons. NCBI's taxonomy places the organism in Eukaryota, Metazoa, Arthropoda, Insecta, Hymenoptera, Figitidae. The record is from RefSeq and is a predicted model, not a curated record.
GACUCUCUCUUUCCGUUCCCCUCUCCCUAAACUGAUCUUUGGCGUCAUUGCUUGGCGUGUUCUUUCCAGUUGCGUUAGCUCCGCCAUUAUUCGUCGCUCAGUCCAGCAGUGAAAGUGCCUCUCAAAAGCCGUUAAUUCCCAUCGAAAUUCAAUGAAGAAAAACGUAUUGAGAAAUACAUUUUUGACAUUUAUAUGUCGAAUAUUCUACAUCAAAUGAAUCAUCAAGUUUCGAGAGAAAAUCAACAUUUAGUUUCUCAAUUUCGCUUCUUCUGCAGAAUGGGAGCAUUUCUAAACUUUUUGUUGAAAUAGAAAACUGAAUUUCAAUAUUUCAACGUUUAAAAUGAAAAUAUGAAUGGAAUUUAUCAAGGAGAAUCAUGCAUUGCAUAUUAAAGCAAUAUAAGGCAGUGCUGAGGAGUUCCGAGAAUGAGAUUUUUUUCCAUCAACAACUUUCCUGCUUCACUGGAUAACACUUUUGAAAAGGAAUUCUCAGAACUUCUAAUCUCUUCAUAAAUUAUAAUCUUCGAGGUGAGAAAAGAGAUAAAAAUUUCAAACAAAGUAUAUUUUCACUUUAAUUUGAAAUAUUUUAUUCAAAAAGGUAAAACACCUCCUUCCUUAAAAAAGGAUUUAGAAAAAACUUCCGAACUUAAAAAUUAAUAUUGUGUCAUAUUAAAAUAAAUAUUGACGCAAAUAUUUAAUAGUAGUGUUAAUUGCUAUUAAAUUUAUUCAAUUAUAUUUCAUCAGUCUUAAUGGCUGUCAUAUUCUUCAUAUUAAAAUAACUUAUUAAUGUUUUUGCUAGUGUAGCAGUUGUCACUACAAAGACUGGGCGUCAGAUACCUUUUAAUUUCUUUUUGAAUUUUUCAUAAAAUUUAUUUAGAACGACAUAUGAUUGUCGUAUACUUCCUGAACAUAA